RNAcentral lists this ribosomal RNA (468 nucleotides) under uncultured bacterium. Its description in RNAcentral is "partial 16S ribosomal RNA". It matches the Rfam family "Bacterial small subunit ribosomal RNA", at positions 28 to 507 of the family's 1533-position model. The record is from RNAcentral.
GACGAACGCUGGCGGCGUGCUUAACACAUGCAAGUCGAACGGAAAGGCCCUGCUUUUGUGGGGUGCUCGAGUGGCGAACGGGUGAGUAACACGUGAGUAACCUGCCCUUGACUUUGGGAUAACUUCAGGAAACUGGGGCUAAUACCGGAUAGGAGCUCCUGCUGCAUGGUGGGGGUUGGAAAGUUUCGGCGGUUGGGGAUGGACUCGCGGCUUAUCAGCUUGUUGGUGGGGUAGUGGCUUACCAAGGCUUCGACGGGUAGCCGGCCUGAGCGGGUGACCGGCCACAUUGGGACUGAGGUACGGCCCAGACUCCUACGGGAGGCAGCAGGGGGGAAUAUUGCAGAAUGGGCGGAAGCCUGAUGCAGCAACGCCGCGUGCGGGAUGACGGCCUUCGGGUUGUAAACCGCUUUCGCCUGUGACGAAGCGUGAGUGACGGUAAUGGGUAAAGAAGCACCGGCUAACUACGUG